AGCGAACGCGGGCGGCGUGCUUAACACAUGCAAGUCGAACGAGAACGGAUUAUAGCUUGCUAUAAUUGUCAGCUAAGUGGCGCACGGGUGAGUAAUGUAUAGGUAAUAUGCCUCUUACUAAGGGAUAACAAAUGGAAACGUUUGCUAAUACCUUAUACUCCUUAUUAACAGAAGUUAAUAAGGGAAAGAUUUAUUGGUAAGAGAUUAGCCUGUAUUGUAUCAGUUAGUUGGUGGGGUAAUGGCCUACCAAGACUAUGACACAUAACUGGUUUGAGAGGAUGAUCAGUCACACUGGAACUGAGACACGGUCCAGACUCCUACGGGAGGCAGCAGUGGGGAAUAUUGCACAAUGGACGAAAGUCUGAUGCAGCAACGCCGCGUGGAGGAUGACACAUUUCGGUGCGUAAACUCCUUUUAUAUGAGAAGAUAAUGACGGUAUUAUAUGAAUAAGCACCGGCUAACUCCGUGCCAGCCGCCGCAGUAA
This 484-nucleotide ribosomal RNA is filed under the name uncultured bacterium. Its description in RNAcentral is "partial 16S ribosomal RNA". It matches the Rfam family "Bacterial small subunit ribosomal RNA", at positions 29 to 523 of the family's 1533-position model. The record is from RNAcentral.